This is a long non-coding RNA of Lycium ferocissimum, 786 nucleotides long. RefSeq lists it as uncharacterized. NCBI's taxonomy places the organism in Eukaryota, Viridiplantae, Streptophyta, Magnoliopsida, Solanales, Solanaceae. The record is from RefSeq and is a predicted model, not a curated record. The transcript is spliced from 2 exons.
AAUCAGAUUGGAACCUCAUUUCUCUUCAAAGAACAAACCCUAAACACUCCCUAUACUCUCUCGCACAUUUCUCCAUCAAUCGUAAGCAAAUCCAAAGGCUAAUCAAGUAACUUUAACGUAAGGAAUCACGUGGUAAUUGUAGAAUCGUCGUUUCUUCAUUGUUUCGCUUUUCGAAAGAAAUCUUCAACUUGAAGAAACCUCUGUUUUGGAUUGAGUCUGGGAAUAUAAGGUAUGGAUGGAUUGAUAAGGAAGAGUAGGAGUAAAGGAGAAGAAAAAUGGUAGUCUUGAAUGAAGAAAUUGAACUACAAAUGACCCUACGAACUUACGCCCGCAAGUUGUUCGACGAAAUGUCUCAUUGAGUAUUUCCAUAAGCUAUGAACUUGGAAUUGAUCCCAUAUUGGUCGUAUGAUGUAGGAAAUCAUUCGUAAGACGUUCAAGGACUCGGGAAAAUGUAUAUAACUCCAUCGACGAGGUAUGUAGGGCUUUCUAUUCUCUUUGUGGCAUGACUAGAUUUCAAAUGACCUUUCAUUGAAAAGUUAUUCCGCUAACUUGGAUCGAUCGCGUUCCAUGAUAAUUGAGCUGACACAUACUCAUCUAUGACUUGUACCAAAUUAUGGUCCACAUCUCCUUUUGGCUUUCGAUUAAAAGACUUUCCGUUCAACUUGUGUCGAUUAUGUCCCAAAAUGGUUAAGCUUACCCUUUUCUCAUGAAUAACUUGUAUUGAAAUACCUUUCACAUUUCGUGUCCCUCUUGUUUAUCGAAUGAAGAAUGAUAUUAGUUAUGGUA